ACAAAUAUAAGUAAACGAAGAAGGGUACGAACGACCACAGUUUUCUAUCUCUGAUCGAUUAUUAUUUUUGUUGCUGAAAAUAAUGGUUUCGUAUUUUUUUUUUCCUGGUAUAAAAGAUGGAUUUAGGCUAUGGGUCACGAUUUAUGGCUGAAAAUUUCUUACAUCUGUGUUGGAUGAUCUUCCUAUUUUAUUGUAUUAAUUUUGUUCUUCCUUUUUGUCUACUCUUUUUGUUUUUGUUUUGUUUUUUUUUUUUGUUUUUGUCAAUUGUUUUCUAUUUAUUCUCGAAAUGAGAAGGAGGGAGGCAAUAAGGCAAAUUCUAUUUAUUUAUUAUAUUGAAACUAUGAAACAUAACAAAAUUCACAUCGAAAUUAAGUGAUGUGGUAUGUUCAGCUCAGCUGCCAUAUAAGGUGGUAUAAAAUUAUAGAAUAACUUAUGCAGUCCAAAUGCAUGACAUUAAGUUUGUAGCACACAUGUGUCAUCCUUUUCCAAUACUCAGAAGACUUCCACUCAUCCCUUUUUUCCAUGGUAAAAAGGGGCCUAGGCUCCAAAACCAAUCUCCACCGAGGAAAACAUUGCAUGGCAAAAAGUGGGCUCCAUGAAAUUGGGCAAGCUCAAAGGCAAGACUUGCUUGGGCUGCUGCCUGAGCAAAAAAUCACUUGUAUUUCACUAAUCCAAACCGUUUAUUUUGUAGAUACUCAUUCAAAGAUCAUCUCUACAAAAAAUCACUUGAAUCCGAUAUCAUUUGAUUAUUCAAUUGAGUUCUUAAAAUUUUAGUACUUUCUUGAAGCACCGUGUUCAUUGAUUUUAUAGGACACAAUUGGAUAUCGAAACGGUUUCCGAUUUGUCUAAUUUUUUGUAAGGAUGAUCUAUGAAUGAAGACCUUAAAAAUAGAUUGUUUGGAUCGUUGAAAAAAAAUUCAUAGGGUACCCUAAAGGACGUUCCUCAAAUAAAAUUAUUUGAAAGAUCCCUUAAUAGAAGGGGACUAUAUAUAUGUAUCAAAACAUAAUAAUAUGUAUAUUAAUGUAUGUUAUAUAAAAGACUUAAAUUGUAAGAAUCUCAUUUUCAUGUAGUAACAGAUUUAGGAAAUUUUUUAGAAAAAAGGCAAUAUUUAAAUGACUAACGGGAAAGAAUAGGUUUCAUUGAGGCAAAGACUGGGUUUAGAGUGAAGCACCUUUAGGUGGAAAUCUUGGAAUGCCAUCAAAGUCAUAUAGGGAUAAGUUGGACAUUGACUAAAGAUAGAAAAUACAAGGGAUGAGUAACAAGGCUCCCUUGAAGCAUGCAAUUUAGUGACCAAUUUCAAAGGUAGGGAAGGUAAGAAACGAAUAGAAAAGUGAUCAAGAGACACAAUCAAAGUGGCAUUAACAAUUAGGCAAAACAAGAAAAUAAUAAAGCAACUGAUCUUUGUUCGAAAAAAAGGGAAAAAACCAUCAUCGAUUGACUUGUUCAAAAAAAGGAAUUAGGCAAACCAAGAACAUAAUAACGCAACUGAUCUUCGUUCAAAAAAAGGGAAAAAACCUUCAUUGUUUGACUUGUUCCCAAUGCCACUGAAUGAUAAACAUAUACAAACUUUCCCCAGUAUAUAUCUAUUAUUGUUAUAUAUAUAUAUAUAUAUAUAUAUAUAUAUAUAUUAACACAGUCUUUUUCACCUAUUUCUCUAUUUUUUUGGUGGACACAUCAGACUUCCUCCUUGCCCUUACAACCAUAUUUGUGAAUUUUUAAAAUUAUCUAAUUCUACAUAUAAUAUAUUAUCAAGUUUCAAUAGAGUUAAUUCACUUAAUUAAAGCUUGUUCAACUUUCUCUUAGUUUUCUCUUCACCUAUGGUUUGUUUGGGUUCGUGAAAUUUUUUAUUGUGUUCUCUUCACAUAUGGUUUGUUUAGGUUUGUGAAAUUUUGGAUUGUGUUUACUUUGGCAUCUCUCCACAUAUAUACUUUACUGACAGUAAAUUCUUCAUUAUCAUGUAUGUAAUGUGUGUGUAUAUAUAUAUACAAUUAUUCUCUUAUUUGCACGAUAUUAUUAUUGUGCGGAUGCUAUUAUAAAUAAGAAGGAAAGUAUAGAUGGAUAAUAAAAAAAUACAUGAUAUCUGCACGAUAUAAUAACAUCCGAACAUUCACAUAAGAGAAUUUCUGUAUAUAUUUUAUAUUUAUGUCUCUCUUUGAAUGUGUGUUUCCUUCUGUGUUGAUGUGUUUAUGAUGAUUGAGGAAUUGUGUAAAGGCAUCCCCUACGAGUUUAAAUAGAUGAGGGUAAAAAGUAUGAAAAAGUGUUUGGGUACGUACCAAGUUGAUGUAUCUUCAGAGGAUGGAAGACAAGCAAUGGAAUAUUAUUAUCGAUUGUGCAGUUAGAAUUUGAUUUAUUCAAUUUGAACACACACAUGACAUCCUUAGAAGUUAAUGGAUAUAGGAAAAAUUAUAUAUAAAAAAUGUACAUAUUUUCAACAAUUAAAAUUAAUUUAAAAUUGAAAAAGGAGAAGAAAAAAAGAAUGUCAUAUAUUCCUUGAUUCGGCCCCUCAACUUUAACCACACCGCCCAUCUCUCAACUUUAAGUAUCGUACCAGGGGUUGGUUGCUUCUUCCAUAUGAGGCAGUUGGGGUGAAUUAGACACACAGUCCAAUUUAGCAUCUAAUCAAAAUGACACAUCACUUUCUGUGUCCUUGUGAUCCCAUGUGAACAUCCCGCGAACAACGCAAGUCCCUUCAGCCAUAGAUUACAGUGACGCAUUCGACCAUUUGCCAACCUUCCAAGUCUCUAGAAAAUUAAAUUAUGUGCGUCUCUAGUCUCUAAAUUUAAAUCUGAGAUAUGUGAAACUCACAUAUGGGUUACGUAAGCAUAUUAACAUAUUUAGGGAAGUAAAGUCACAUCAUGAACUACUUGUGAUCACGUAUAUUAACUCUAGAAAAAUGCUUACUUCAUUUUUUAAAAUGUCAAUCACAGUUUGACAUGUGUGUAAAGAUUUUAUUUUAUUUUAUUUUUGUGUUUUUGAUGAAUUAUUUUUGCGUAUGUGCUAAACUGUGAUUUGCAAGAGAUAUGAAUGUCUCAUUCCCAGAAAAGAAGGAAGCAAUGUUAUUAACCUUAAGGACCGUAAAUAAUAUUAUUUAAAAAAAUACGCAAUCUGAUAGUUACAUCAAUUUCAGAGACGUUUUGUAAUAAAAAUACGAAGGACUUAGAAUGUUAUUGAUUGUGGUGUGUAACAUGUUUGGUGAAUAAAAUGACCUAAAGAAAGCUCAUUUAAAUGAUAGGUGCUGAAGAAUUCUCUAAUCAAUAUUGCCGCUUGAAGCUUUUCUUGCGAGUGACGUCGUGAUCUCACAAUACCAACCUUUCUCAGAAGUAAAUGUAAUUUAUUGUUUCAAUUGACUGAGGAAGGAGUUUGCUGAAUUCGUUAGUAGAUAUUAGAAAACAAAAAAGUUUUGAAAAGAGUCGCUGAUGGAUUUCAGUUUAUCUUUUUGGGUUUAGAAGUUUGUUAAUCCGUAAACAUGUGUUUUCAUGUUGCAGCAAGGAGUGGAAAGAACUUCUACAUUUGGAACCCCCUAAUUAGAGAAUCCAUAAGCCCUCCAAUACUCCCAAGAAAGAAUGGAAAUAGUUGGAAAAGGUGGAAAUAGUGGAAAGGAGUGUCACAGCAAGGCAGGCAUUGUGGUCAAUGACCAAGAAAGAAUGUCGAUCAAGUUAUGUCAUCCGUUUUUCGACACUAGAGUUGGGUGUCUCAUACAAGAGAGCCAGGAACAUGAGAUACAAAAGAGGGAUGAAGAUGAGAGACCAUUAAGGUUGGGUUUGUGGUCUUCUUUGAUUGUAUUUUGUUCUACACUUUAUAUGUUGUUUUCGUUGAGGAAUUUAUUGUUUCCUCUUAUAAUUGCAAUUUUAAUCAUUGGAUUCUUUUUGUUUAGAUGAUUUCUUAUGCGCUUGAUUACCUAAAUGUGCUUCAUUAGUUUGUUGGCUAAUAAAAUGUGUAAUUUAUCUAUACCUAGUAACCAUUUUCAUUUUCUCAAAAUGCACUGACCUCCAAGAAAGAAACCAAGAAGUUCAUCAAAUUUUCCAAUUCUGGUUAGUCCUCAUAAACUUUGUUGCAUGCAUAUUAAUUUUAAGGUAUGCUUGUCCUUGUAGUUCUUUUCCUUGAUAACAUUCUCAAAUAAAUCCCUAGUUUAUGUUCUUUUUUUCCUAUUUUUUUCUUCUCUAAUUUCCAUUCGACUGUAAUUAAAUUGGGAAGCCCAUAUGUGUAAAUAACAUGUUUGAAUUCUGAACUAGCUUUCAAUUUCUGGAUGUGUUUCUACAUAGGCAUGAUUCUUUUUUUUAGUUUCCAUUCGACUGCUAUACAGGAAAUUAAGAUGUAAAUAAGAAGUUUGAAUUUUUGCCUCACUAUCAUAUUCUUAGUAUGUUUCUACAAAGACAUGACACUAUUCCAUUGAUUUUUACUUAAUUUUAUGUAUGUGUAGUCCUUUGAUGUAGAACAAAUCAUGGGUUUGUUCCUACGAAAGAAAUAUGGAAAAAGGAGAAAAUUCAAAAUCAGAAAAUUGGGCUUCAAAUAUGGAAAAUCAUGCUUGAGCAUCAAUUAUGGUGCUAGGAAAAGAAAGAAAGAAAGACCUACUACGUUUGGAACCCCCUAAUUGAAGAACCCAUAAGCCUCCAGUACUCCCAAGUCACUAUAAGCCACAAUCCGUUGGAUUCGAGUUUGGUAAUAUUUUGAAAUUGUAUAAACUACUCCUCAUUAUGUCCAUAAAGAAGCUCCUUAUUAUUUUCAGGUUUGGAGUGGAUACAGAAUGGAGAAAAGUGGUGAGUGAAAAUAAUGGUGAAGCGGAAGGAUAAACAAUUCGGGGUUUACCUUAAUAGUCAACUUCAUUGGAUUGGAACAACAGGUGGACACAACAUAGAUGUGAUUUGUACCUUUAAUCUGCGCUAUGAAUUACAUGAAGAGUCACACAAGUACGUGGCGUGAUUUUCUUCUGGCGGUUUUGAAUCCUCAUACAAAACCAAUUAGCAGCUUCAAUUUACAAGAAAUUUGUACAAAUAUUGAAGUAUAUUUAUGUAAUGAACAAUAUUUAUGAUAUAAUGAACAGAUGAGUUCACUAGGCUCAAGUUCCUUAGCGGUGUCGUCUAUUUGUUCGUUCAGCUCUCUUCAUUAUGUUUGACGAGUGAUAGGUUUCUCAUCCUAUAAUGAAGGGAACUGAACAAGAAAAUGGAAGACAUCGUUGGAGGAUCCUCAUCCUAUGCAAGGAAUGUGCUUAGAUUUUAUACAAGUUUAAAUCUCAAUGUCGAUGCAGACAUUCUUAUUUCAUUAGUGGACCAAGAUGAGAUGAGUAUAAUUCGUAAAAAGAAUUUUGAGGUGAGAUUUGGAACAAAAAUAGAGAAAGUGCCAAAGUUUCAUUUACUGUACAUGCAAGAUGAAAAGUCUAAACAAAAUGUAGUAAAAGAUAGCUAAUUCAUCGAGAAAUUUUCCAUAACUUGUUUGGCUUUUAUUUUAUUAGAAAAAUUAUCAAGUUCUUAUUUUAUGUUCUUACUUUUGAUGCCUCGGGACGUAACAGCCACCCGUAUCUGGGAUUUCAAGCCUAUCAUGACGUUAAGAAUUUCAUCCACUCUGGGGUUAAUUAUUUUCCUUCUUUAAUAAAGUAUUUAGCUAUAUAUUUCUAAAAAACUAAAAAAUAUUUAGCUAAAUGAACUAUAUUGAUAAUUAACCAUGGUGGAAAGUUUUGCAGCACUUUUCGGCAGCAACAAAGAGAAGAAACUUUUACUUCUAUUCGGACGGCCGGAGUACGUCACUGACACUGAGGGAUUUUGCAUCAUUCCCCGUUGCAAAAUUCAAUUUCUGUAAUUCAUUUGUAGUCUAUAAAGCAAUCAUACUAUUUAUUUUUAAAAAAUUUAAAUAACUCUAACGUUUUAUCUUCCUUAAUUACAGUGGGCAUAACGUUGGCACAUGAGAUAAUGCAUGCAUGGUUGAGGCUUCAAGGUAUGAAUAUGGAUUUAGGCUUUAUUAUUCACUACAAAUAAUUUGCAUGAAAAAAAUAAUAAGUUUUAAACUUAUGCCUACCCUCAAGAGUGCUUUAAAUUUUUGUUGGUCUAAUAGGUUUUUGUAUAAUAUUGUAUGAAACUCUCUAUUUCUGUGUUCUUAUUUUUCCUCAAUAAUGAGUUCUUUUUGUAGGUAUAAUUGGUGAUAGGAAACCGGAAAGAUUGGUAGAAGAAGGUAUUUCUCAAGUAAUGUCAUACAUGUACCGGAAAUGGUUUUGUUCUAGAGGUUUUAAGUACUCCUCAUUCAACAAAAUCAAUGAGCAACUUUAGUUUACAAAAGAUUUGAAUAAAUGUUUUGCAAAUCUUACGAAAAUUGAUUCAGAUGAAGCUUAUCGUGAAGGGUUUAAGCAAAAUAUGCAUGCUGUGAAAGAAAAUGACUUCAAAAAGACAUUGGAUUGCAUCGUUUAAAAAAGACGUUUGGUACCUAAGAUGGAAGAAGAUGAAGAUAAUUGUAAAGAUGCAAAAGGAAGUCUCACACUACACAAAAAUAACGCGGCACGCCGGCACCACGAGGGCUACGGUGGGCUAUAGCCUAAUGAGGUCUUUGGGUUAAAAAUAAAAAUAAAACCUAUAUAUUUGCCUUCUUUUAAUAUUGUCCAGAUAUUAUAUAUUAAGAGAUGGCAAUGUUAAUUUUAAAUCGGUGUUAGUAAUUUCUUCCUUAGCUAAAGCGUGCUUGGUAUGUUCCUUGGAAUUAAUUAACUUAAUAUUACAAUUUCUCCUUUGAUAUGACAUUUUUGUAAUUAACAAUGUCUAUGACCAUUUUUGUAAUUAAAUCAGACCCCAGCAAAAGAAAACAGAUAAUAUAUCACAGGGUUACAGAAAAUUACAUUUUUCAUAUCACAUGUAUAAGACUGAUAAGCUAUAUAUGGUGGGCUUGGGUAGAUGUGGUUGCUGAUGAUGAACACAAUCUUCUUCUUCUUGGCGUCUGGUGCUUUAGGCUUCUGGUUGGUUUUGAAAACAGAACAGAAAAACCUGGUUGGUUUGAGCCUUCUUUGAGAGUUAAAUAAUCGAACAAAGAAGUGGGAUAUAUCUGGAAAAAAAGAAAAAAGAAAAAAGAAUCAGAUUCUGUGGAAGCCAUUAACAAGAAUGCAUGAAAGAAAGUGACUAAGCUGAAGGAGAUGCCAGGAAAGUAUUUGACAAGAUGAACCCUUGUUUACUCGGUAAGUCACGGUGCAAACAAUUUGUUUUGUAUAUUUCGGUUAACGGGUGAAUUUGUACUAAAGAAAUUAAGGCAUAAUCACACACAUAACACAGGUGUUUGAGUGAUUCACCCAUAAUGGGGCUACAUCCACUAUAGUUUAUGGCUUUGUAUUUGUAUUUGAAUAGGAGAUUACAUUGUACAUAAGAGAGAUAUGGGGAGAAAGACUUGAGAGCUCUAGUAGAAGAGAAAUAGGGAGCUUGAGAUAGCUUUGGACAGCUCUUGGAGAUGGGAAUGGUCCCAUGAAACAACUUGAUUUCCAAAAUAACGCGGCACGCCGGCACCACGAGGGCUACGGUGGGCUAUAGCCUAAUGAGGUCUUUGGGUUAAAAAUAAAAAUAAAACCUAUAUAUUUGCCUUCUUUUAAUAUUGUCCAGAUAUUAUAUAUUAAGAGAUGGCAAUGUUAAUUUUAAAUCGGUGUUAGUAAUUUCUUCCUUAGCUAAAGCGUGCUUGGUAUGUUCCUUGGAAUUAAUUAACUUAAUAUUACAAUUUCUCCUUUGAUAUGACAUUUUUGUAAUUAACCCUAAACCCUAAACCCUAAACCCUUUUAAUUUCCCUGGAAACAACUUGAGCCUUGAACUAAAUAACAGAACCUUUUGCCCUGGCUGAAAUUCCUUCCGUAAAAUUUGACUGUCAUGAAAUGCCUUAGUUCUUUCCUUGUAGAUGCGAGAACUAUCAUAAGCACCUUGACGAAUUUCCUCUAGCUCAUUUAACUGCAAUUUCCGCUUUUCCCCAGCUGAGUCAUAUGCAAAAUUUAACUCUUUAAUGGCCCAGUAAGCUUUAUGCUCCAGCUCCAUAGGUAGAUGACAGGCUUUCCCAUAAACAAGUCGGAAUGGUGACAUCCCAAUAGGAGUUUUAUAAGCUGUCCUGUAUGCCCACAAAGCAUCAUUUAGUUUGAAACUCCAAUCCUUGCGUGUAGAGCUCACUGUUUUCUCCAAAAUACGCUUUAUUUCUCUGUUUGAAACUUCAACUUGGCCAGAUGUCUGUGGGUGGUAUGGUGUAGCCACGCGAUGAUGAAUCCCAUAUUUUGCCAAUAGGUUAGCAAAUGGUUUAUUAAUAAAAUGCUUCCCCCCAUCACUAAGAAUAACACGCGGUAUUCCAAAACGUGGAAAUAUAACCCCCUGGAGGAACUUCAGGACCACUGAUCCUUGAUUAGUUGGUGCUGCAAUGGCCUCGACCCAUUUUGAAACAUAUUCCACAGCCACUAAAAUAUAUUGGUGCCCAUUAGAAGAUGGGAAUGGUCCCAUGAAAUCAAUACCCCAAACAUCAAAUAGUUCAACAAUUAGGAUACUUUGCUGGGGCAUCUCAUUCCUUCUGGAUUGAUUGCCGACCCUUUGACACCUAUCACAUGCCUUGCACCAAUUCCGUGAAUCUCUAAAAAGUGUUGGCCAAAAUAACCCACUCUGUAGGAUUUUCUCUGCUGUCCUUUUCUGCCCAAAAUGUCCUCCACAAGCGUAGUGAUGAGCAAACUUUAAAACACUUUCCUGUUCAACCUCCGGAAUACACCUGCGAAUAAUCUGGUCUGCACAAUACUUGUAUAAGUACGGUUCAUCCCAGAAAUAGUGCUUUACAUCAAAUAAAAACUUCUUUUUCUGCUGGUAGGAAAAAUCUGGAUGCACCACACCCUUAGCCAAAUAAUUGACAAUAUCUGCAAACCAAGGUGUGUCAAUUUUGACAGCAAAUAGCUGUUCAUCUGGGAAACUUUCACUCAAUGGUAGAGAAUCUGCCUCUGUAGCUGCUGGAAUAAUUAAUCUAGAUAAAUGAUCAGCCACAACAUUCUCACUGCCCUUCUUGUCUUUAAUCUCUAAGUCAAAUUCUUGAAGUAAGAGAACCCAACGAAUCAAUCUAGGCUUUGCAUCCUUCUUAGACAACAAGUAUUUAAGUGCAGCAUGAUCUGUAUAGACAAUUAUUUUAGCCCCAACCAAAUAAGACCGAAAUUUCUCUAGUGCGAACACAACUGCCAACAAUUCCUUCUCUGUAGUUGCAUAGUUAAGCUGUGCAUCAUUGAGAGUACGACUUGCAUAAUAGAUGACAUGGGGAAGCUUAUCUUUUCGCUGUCCUAAAACUGCCCCGACAGCAUAAUCUGACGCAUCACACAUUAGUUCAAAUGGUAAAUCCCAAUUUGGUGCAGCAAUGAUGGGUGCCGAAGUUAGGAGGGCUUUCAACUUGUUGAAUGCUUCUAAACAGGCCUUAUCAAAAUUAAAUGGUGCAUCCUUAGCCAAUAAAGUGCACAAAGGUCGACUAAUCUUGGAGAAAUCCUUGAUGAACCGACGAUAAAAACCUGCGUGUCCUAAGAAGGAUCUCACACCUUUUACUGAUGUAGGAGGUGGCAGCUUUGCAAUAACUUCAAUCUUUGCCUUGUCAACCUCGAUGCCUUUGCUAGAAAUUGAAUGACCCAAGACAAUUCCUUGUUCAACCAUGAAAUGACACUUUUCCCAGUUUAGCACUAAAUUCGUCGCUUGACAUCUCUGAAGAACUAAUGAUAAAUUCUGUAAGCACUGAUCAUAUGAAUCCCCAAAAACAGAAAAAUCAUCCAUAAAAACUUCCACAAUAUUUUCGACCAAGCCAGAAAAAAUACUCAUCAUACAACGUUGAAACGUAGCAGGUGCAUUGCAUAAUCCGAAUGGCAUCCUCCGAUAAGCAUAAGUACCGAAUGGACAAGUGAAAGUAGUCUUCUCUUGAUCCUCUGGUGCGAUUGGAAUCUGAUUAUACCCAGAAUACCCAUCAAGAAAACAGUAAAAAGCCCGACCAGCCAACCUUUCUAACAUCUGGUCAAUAAAAGGCAAUGGAAAAUGGUCUUUUCUCGUCCCUGCGUUAAGCUUCCGGUAAUCUACACACAUUCUCCAACCCGUAGUCAAUCGUGUAGGAACUAACUCAUUAUUAUCAUUUUUCACCACUGUAAUACCGGUUCGUUUAGGCACAACUUGAGUCGGGCUAACCCAUUUACUGUCAGAAAUAGGAUAAAUCAUACCUGCAUCAAGUAAUUUCAUAACCUCUGUUCUGACCACCUCUUUCAUAAUUGGGUUAAGGCGGCGUUGAGCAUCAACUGUUGGCUUUACGUCGUCUUCCAUUAAUAUUCUGUGCAUACAUAGUGCUGGGCUGAUUCCCUUGAUGUCCGCAAUUGUCCAUCCCAAUGCAUCUUGAUAUUUUCUCAAUACACGAAGCAAUUUAUCCUCCUCUGUCGGUGUUAAAUCUGCUGCAAUUAUAACUGGCAGCGUCUCUGCAGCUCCUAAAUAUGCAUAUUUAAGAUGUUGUGGUAAAGGCUUCAGCUCCAAUUUUGGUGGCUGUUGUCUGGAUGGUUUAAGGGGCUGUUUGGGCUCUCCUAAACUCUCAUACACAUUCCUAAAUUUUGGCAACACUGUGGGCAGACUGUUCAAUGCGUGUAUGUACUCAUGAACACCUUCAUCUUCGGAAUCUGUCUCAAGUUCCCCCUGUAAAACAUGCAGCAACUGAUCUGUUUUUGAAUUAGCACAAAAUCUGUCAUGCACCAUACUGUCUACCAUGUCAAUACGCAUACAAUCCUGCUGUUCAGCAGGACGUUUUGCUGCCUCAAACAAAUUAAACACCACAGAUUGGUCUUGAACCCGUAAAGUCAAUGUUCCAGCUUCCACAUCAAUUAAGGUCCUAGCUGUUGCCAUAAACGGCCUCCCUAAAAUAAUAGGUGUUUGAAGGUCUUCAUCCAUGUCUAAAACCACAAAAUCUGCCGGUAGAUAAAGAUCAUCAACCUUAAUAAUUAGAUCUUCAAUAACACCUCUUGGAUAAGUGAUUGAACGGUCAGCUAGUUGAAGUAUAAUUGAUGUAGGCUUUAAAUCUCCUUGCCCCAAUCGCUGAAAAACAGAAAAAGGCAUCAAAUUAAUACUUGCACCCAAAUCAAUUAAAGCACUUUUAAAAUUAGAAUUUCCAAUAGUGCAAGAAAUAUUAAAACUCCCUGGAUCUUUUUUCUUAGGUGGUAGUUUGUGUAGCAAAACUGCACUGCACUGUUCUGUCAAAAUAACUUUUUCCAAAUCUGAAAGCUUCUUUUUGCUGCUGCAAACUUCCUUCAAAAAUUUGGCAUAUGAUGGAAUUUUCUUGAUUGCAUCCAGUAAGGGAAUGUUGAUUUGAACCUUGGAUAAUGUCUGCAUAAAGUCCUUAAGUUGCUGAUCUUUUGCUUUAGGCUUCAAACGUUCUGGAUAUGGAAUUGGGGCCUCAUAAACACGCUCAGGAACUUGUUUUGGAACAGUUUCUAGAUCUGCCGAAUUAUGUUUUUCUGCAGGUUUGGCAGGUUCUGCUGCUGCAAAAUUUUCUGUAUUAUCUUCCACUAUUUGCUGCUCCUUUUCAAUGCUAUUUUCACGAUUGUCAUAGCUUUUUCCACAUCGUAAAGUCCGAACAACUUUGCAAUCUUCACGUCCAUUUGGAUUAGGAAUUGUUUGACUAGGAAAUUUGCCCUUUUCUCUGUUUGAAAUCUGUGUAGCUAGCUGUCCAAAUUGUUGCUCCAAACUUUUAAUUGAUGCUUCAACAUUUUGAAAUCUUUGAUUGUUGCCCUCGAUGAAUGAUUGAGUUGUUGCUGCCAGUUUAGCAAGUUGAUCUUCCAGAGAUGGUUUGGAGGGAACAAAAGGUUUUUGUGCAUGCUGGAAUGGUUUGGCAUUAGUCUGAUUGUCACCCCAUUUGAAAUUAGGGUGAUCCCUCCAUCCAGGAUUGUAAUGAGUUUCAUAUGCAUCAUUCCUAGGCCUUUGAUAGCUGUUCAUCAUAUUGACAUGUUGUUCAACAAGCUCUGGGUAAGAGUCUCUAUGUGGGCAGCCCAUUAUGUCAUGUGUAGCCAUACUGCAUAUAGUGCAAACUGUUGAUGUAGGUGGCUGCUGUGUAGAACCUGCUAUAUGUUGUAGAAGCAUAUCAAACUUUGCAUCAAUUUUCUUAUCCAUUUUUUCCAUUUGUGCAGACAUGUUGGGAGAACCUACUGAUAACUCAAAAAUGCCCCUUUUCUGUGAAUGUUCUGCUGCCCAUUGCUGAGAUUCUGUAGCCAUCAUAUCAAACAGUUCAAAUGCCUCUCUUGCAGAUUUAUUUGAUAAUGAUCCUCCAGCUGAUGCAUUCACAUGGCUCUUAGAUGUAGGAUUAAGCCCAUCAAAGAAAAUAUUCAUUUGUGUAUUUGAAUCAAUUUUGACAUGUGGACACUUUAUGUACAUCUCUGUAUAUCUCUCCCACGCUUCAUGAAACUCUUCAUUGGGCUUCUGUGUGAAUGUCAAAAUCUCCCUUUUGUAAUUCAAUGUCUUGGAUGCUGGAUAAUAUUUGUUCAGGAAUUUUGUGUGUAACUGCUGCCAAGUAGUAAUGCUAUUAGCUGGUAGAGUGAAUAACCAAGUUUCUGCCUUGUCCUUCAAAGUGAAAGGGAAAAGACGUAACUUAAUAGCCUCAGCAGAAAAACCCCUAAUCAAAAUAUUCUUGCAACCCACAAUAAAUUUUGCAAUAUGUAUGUUUGCAUCUUCAUUAGGCAAUCCCCGAAAAGUAGGUAGAAUUUCAAGCAUAUGGUGCCUGAUCUCGAACGAAUCACCCUCUUCUUGUUCAGGAUACACAAUGCAAUUGGGAACAUCAGUGGCACGGGCUUCCAAUGACUCCCUGAGUGGUCUACCUGCCGUAGGUAAUUCUAACGCCAUGUUACUCUCGUUUGCAAACAAAUUCUGCAAAAAAGUGCCCUGCAGUGAACAGUCCCAAGCCCAAAUAACUUCUCUUCGCUGUCUAUGCAGUGUGCGCUCUGGUUCUGGAUCAAAUUGUACAAUCUGUGCAGUUCCUGAUCUGGUCUGGACCAUGCAGUCUGCAAAAUCUGCAACAGAAACAAAAUUGUUCAAUUUCAAUUUUGUAUUUUAUUUUUUAUUUUGGACGAAAAUUAAAAAGUAAAAUAAAAUAAAAUAAAAUAAAUCAGAAAAAGGUUAAACAAAAAUUGUCUAAAAUAGUCCCCGGCAGCGGCGCCAAUUUCUUGAUAGGAUUUUUAGUACUUGUGCAAACAGUGUUAAAAAUCACAUAAAAUACUUGCAAGAAUACAAGGCUAUUGUAGUAUAGAUGCUCAUGCAAGGUCGUUUUCCUCAAGGACUAAUUAGCAAUUUAUGUAAAAACAAAUUCCAAUUACUACUUAAAAUAAAAAGUCAAGAAAGAUGAUUAUAAAUUUGGUGGAUUCUAAAAAACAAAUAUUAAACAAAAACAAAUACGAUUGAGAGAAAGAGUUUUGAAUAUCAAUUUAUAAAAACACUAGGGUUUCACCAUCACCUAGCAAUCCUAUGAACUUUUACCAAUUACUUAUGAUUUGCACAUGCCACUUUGAAGGUUAGGUUUUCCUAAUGUAUAUUCUACUUGGAACCUCCAACACAGAACGUAUAUCCAACAUGCAACCCGUCCGGACGUUCGGAUCAAAUCUGAACAUGAAAGACUCAUUAAGUUUUGUGAAAACCCUUUGAAAAACCAUGCAACCCUUAAGACGUGGUGUUCAUCUUAAGUGAAAUUACAAUUAUUAAUCACAAGAAGCUAGCAUCAAUUUCAGGGAACCUUCCGACCAAAAUUGCAUCCAAUUACUUUUCUAAAGAUCCUAAUGGUGAUCAGGCAUUAAGACAAUUAGAUAGUUUAAAACAGUGAUUAACAAUUCAAAAUACGCAUGCACUCAUCAUAAGCAAUUAAAUAAAAAUCACAUAUUCAUGCUAAGGUUCAAGGCUUCACCCUAGCAAAAGAAAUUUAGUUACGCAUACUCAUAAUUGAAAUCCAAGAAAAUAUCAUUAAGAAGAAAAGAACGAAAACACCUGAAAGUUGUGAAAACCCAAAACCCUAGCAAUUGCUCUCCACAAUGCAAAGUUCAAAAGUGAAAAGGGAGUCCUUCAAUUCCUCGUGAGAAAGAGCUUAAAUACCCCUUAAAACCUAGCUGCCAAUGUACAGCUUUUCUAUCCCCACAAGGAAACUAAUUAAAGUAAAAUAAUACUAGGAAAUAAAGUCCAAAUUGGAAUAGGAGAAUUUGCCUAAAAUCUGCCCAGCCACGUUUUGGCCCCAAAUCUCCUCCAAAUCUGGCCCAAGAUAGCUUGUUUUAAAGAUAAAAAUGUUCUGAACACUUCUCUAGAAGGCCACGAACCCAUUCGAGGUCAUCUUGGGCUUCAAAAACGCAAUAAAAGCCCAACACGUCACUAUUCCAGCACCGCGCACUGCUCAUUUAUUUUAUUGCCCGAAAAUAACCGCUUGGAAGAAAGAUCUGAAAUUUUGAUACGAUCAAGCUAAGUGACUCAAGAACGUCCUCCAACUGGAAUUACUCCAAAAUUCCUCAAUUUGAUUAUGUUUUGCUCCAGAGAGAGUCGAAAGUCCUAUAUUGAAAAUAUAAUUCAAAGUAUCAAAAUUCUUCCAAAAUAUUAACCAAAAUAUACUAAGAAUGAGGUUAAUAUAUAAUAUAAAAUAUGUCCAUCAUAGUCCAAGUAGUGGUAGGGAACGCAUGACUCUCCUUGAUUUGGGGAUUCUACAUGGCCUCCCCCUGCUUUGGGGGGCGUGGACAUUGAGAAGGCAUGGGAGGGGGCAUGGCUAGCUACUCCUCUUUUGGUAGGAUGUGAGGUAUGACUGAUAACAAUAUUAGUUAGUUUAUAUUCAGUUAAAUUGUCACGUGUGUGCUUACGUAUUGUUAGUUAGUAUUAACUGUAAUUAGUUAGACUGUUAAGUUUUAAUUAUUGAGAUAUUAAACAUUGAUGACACUACGAUUGUAAAUAUUUUUGUGAAAUCAGUAUACAGAUAAGGGCGGAAUUAGGAAUUUUUUAAUGGAUGGGCUAGCUAAAGUUAUUAGCUUAAAAUUUAAUGAUUAUUUUUUUUGGUACUUAAAAUUUCUAUAGUCUUUGUGGAAAUAAAAGUAAACAUUAAAUCAUAUAAACCAAGCUAGUUCAUAGCUCCAUAGAUUAAUUUUCAAUAAGUUUUAACAUAAACCAAAUAUGGUUUAACACCAUAGUGGAUUGAAUAUCUAAGGCUUUUUACCUCAAUUGACCUCAGGUUCCUUUAUGCAUUCAUAUCAUACAUGAAAAAUUGGUUUAUGUAAAAAUAUUGAUUAAGUAUGAAAAAUGGGUUUUCAGAAUAAUCAUUUUCUCAAGAUAAUUUUUUGCGGCUUUUAUUCCUCACACAUCAAAUAAGAAAACUUGAUUUUAUGGGAUUUUAAUAUGAAGUAUAUAUUGACUUAAUGAGCCAUCAUUUUUAGCGUAAAUAGUAUUUUGCACUAAAAUCGAUUUUUCAUAUUUUGAUUUGGUGGGAAUUUGAUUUUCUAGUAUUUUUAUUUGAAUCCAAAUGGGGAGUACUUCCUUAUUUACAUUGUAAACUUAAGUAAAUGGAGUAAUAUAAAAAUAAAUAAAAUUAAAAUGACAAAGACAAGCUUAGUAUGGUUCCGCCCUUGUAUACGGAGCAUAUCAUUUUCUUUUGAAUCUUCUUCUUCUUUCUUAGCUUUCUUAAUUCUUAAGCUUCUUCUUCUAAACUGUUAACAAUAACAAGCAAGGGUUAUCCCUUAACUGGUGGGAUUUGUUUAAGGAGAAAGGUGAGGUCAACAUGGUGUCAACAAUUUCUUUCUUGAGGAAAUAUAUAUAGAUAUAGGAAUUUGGUCCCAGUAUAUCUAUAUAUAUAGAUUGUCAAUCACAGUUUUGUCAUUCACAUGAACACGGAACUAGCAAUAUUUUCACACAAGAUCAUUUUGGAAUGUGGUCCUUGUAUAAUGUUCAUUCCUCAGUUAGUUAAGCAGAGAUUUCAGUGGCUUUGACAUCGGCUGUUUUCAUCAAGUGGGCACAAGAGCAAACAAAAACUCACACACCACAGAAAGCAACAAACGAGUAAUCCCACUAAAAUCAAAGAUGCAGACUUUGCCGAGGUUUUUCCUAAAAGAAAGAAAAAGAAAAUGAAGGCCAGGGCAGGGGCAGUCAACAGAGAAAGCGACUAAUGAGAGUGAGGCUCUUCGAAAUCAAAUGGGUAUGUGCAGAGGCCAUCAUGACAGGGAAUAUUCGACGAGGAAGAUGGAGGCCUUUCCGAUUUUCUUGAAGCUUCGUGUAAAUAUGUCGUAACCUGAGAAAGAGAAGGUGCUAAAUUAUAAUUGUAAGUAUGUGCAUUACAAAUGGGUUUGGUGUGUAAUGGUAGGUACGUGCUUAAUUGCUCUUCUUUGUUGGUGGUUGUGUUUGGUGUCUUAGGCCUUCGACCCAACUCUAAGAGCACUUCUACCCGUGUAGGUCAUCCUCCAAAAACCAAUUCUAGUGGUGAAGGUCAGUUCGGGCAAGAAAUGGGCUCCAUCAACCUGGGUUAUUGCUUGGGUUUGUUGAUGUCAGCAUGAUAUUAGAGACCAAUUAAAAUAUCCAAAAAAAUUAUAAAAAUAUCAAAUAAUUUUUUAAAAAUACCAAAAAAUUCAGAAUUUUUUAUUAUUUAUAAAUACCUAGCCAUGUUCUUCACUUCCCACACCAAAACUUCAUACAAAUUUCUCUCCUCAUAUCUCAUGUGAAUAGUGUUUGCAAAAUAAAAACAGGUAGGGCAGUCACUAUUCACAUAAAUAGUGUCUACCCAUACUUGCCCUUACCCUUUGUUGUGGCACCAUGAGUAAAAGUACUCUAAACUUAAGCCUAGAAGCAAUGAGACAACCCUUAACUCUAUCCACCAAGCUAAGCUGGUACCCGAUAAUUAAAGUGCUUAUGUCAACGAGGUCUAGCUAAAUAUAAAAAAGAUCUUGACGUGCAAACCAGUGAUCUCAUAUUAUUAUUAUUUUUUGAAAAAAAACUCGGGAUUUUGUUUUAAAGGAAAACAUAAUUUUAUCAAGUUAAGAGGCUUUUACCCUUUUCUGCCUCUCUAACAUGAGUGACGGUGAGCAAGCCAAUGCGGAUUAGCAAAUUAAUAUUUCAAUGUACCAUCCAUCCAUGCAUAUUGCAUGCCAUGGAUAUUGGGGGUGGGACCCUCUGAACAUCAUCCCUAGGGAAAGAAGAUGGAAAUUUAAGUUAUAAAAAGUGUUUCCUAGGCACUAACUAAUUGGUGACUAAUGACCAAUUGGUUAUAGUUUACGAUGUGACACUGAUUUGGUAAUAAUAUGGGAUUUUCUUUUGAAUAAUAUAAAGACCAAACCGAUUCAUGAAUCUGCUGCCAGGAAGAUCGGAUUGGAACCCCUGGAAAUAGUAAAAGUAAUAUUUAUUUAUUGUAAAGCAAUUUGUGAUGGAUGGAAGGUCAUGGUUUUCAACAACAUAUCCAUAUUUUCAUUUGGUGGCUAAGCAUCUCUAAGUAUUUUGGGGUUCAAACUUUUCUGUCUAGUCUUUAAGACUUGAAUUGAAGCCUUACUAUUUCCAGUUGUAAAAUGGUGGUCUUCGCCAAUUCCACAACUUUUUCAUCAACUUUUGUAAUGAACUUCCUAGGCUAUUCCUCUAGGGCGCUAAUUAAGUAGAAAAAUUUGUGUGAAAAAAUUACCAUAUGGCAUACCGAAAUUGGCCAAUGAUAAUUCGACAUUAGCAGCGGAGUUCCCUGUUUUGUUCAUUUUGAUUUUUUUGAUAAGAUUUUGUUCAUUUUGAUGGUGUCCCAAGUUCACUCCAAUUUAUAGCUUAUUAGCUUACCAAUUUUGCAUAUCAUAUCAACUUUAAUACUAAAUCAGGAAAAAAAGAAACCAUGAGUUUUUUGGCCGAUCCAUAAUAAAUAAAUAUGAAAGAGCGACCCAACCCAACCCGCAAACAAACCCCACAAAUACACAUCUGCAAAAUACGUAUACAUAAACAGUAACAAAGAUACAAAAUUCUGCUUUUCAAGCUCACAGAGAGAGAGAGAGAGAGAGAGAGAGAGAGAGAGAGAGAGAGAGAGAGAGAGAGAGAGAGAGAGAGAGAGAGAGAUUCAGAUAGAAAAAGAAAACCCAGCAUUCUAUGAAAGCCAUGAAAAGUUUACAUCAACAUCACCAUGAAAUUAGCAUAUUCACAUAUGCCAUCCCAUCAGAACAAAACUCUGCUUUUCAAGCUCAGAGCUUAUCUGGAUUUCUUUGCGAAAAGGGGGGUUAUUAUGAAACUCCGGAUUAAUCAUAAGCUGCUAUGAAUCUAAUGAAAAGCACUGAGAGAGAGAGCAAAGAAAACCCAGAAUUCUAUAAUAAUAAAAAGCUAUGAAAAGUUUACAUCAAUCAAAAUCACCAAGAAAUUAGCAGAAGCAGAUAAGCAACGGCAUGGCUGUGUGUACUAAAAAUAGUAAAACACCAGCUCUUCUAUCCAUAAGCAUAUAUGCUAUGGUAAUGCUGGUGGGCAUGGGUAAACGUGGCUGCUGAUGAUGACCUUGUUGGCGUUUGAUGAUGUGGUGGUUUCAGAGACUCCAGCAGAAGCUGAAGGACUAUUAGUAUCAUCGGAAACAGAGCAAAAGCAUUGGACAAUUUGAUCAAAUAUCAUCCUCUUCACUAACCUCUUCUUCACUGGGAAGACACUCCCAGCUUUUGGUUUGAACAAACAUGGCUCAGCCUUGCUUUGAUCUUGAGAUGAGCUCAACUUCAGCUUCAUGGGCUCCUUUGGGUGGUGCUCUGUUUUGGGGCAGAGGAGGUCAUCUUCCCCAUCUGGCUUCAAGCACUUCCUUGCAUCUGAAGUUUCCUUCAUUGCCAUGUAUGUAAUCUCUCUCUCUCUCUCUCUCUCUCUCUCUCUCUCUAAGUGUGUGCUACUUCCUUUCCUCUGUGGUUAUGAGGAAUUGUGUGAAGCCGUGCCCUACGAGUUUAAUAUAUGAGGAAAUUAAGCUUCGAUUGUAGGCCCUACCUAGUACCUUACAUAUUCCAUUGCGUCACCUUGUCAUCAGCAGCAGGGUACGUGUGGGGACCUGCUGCUGAGUAGAGGAGGAUAUGGUGAUUGAUGAAGAUGGUUAUCACUGAGGAAGGACUUUGCUUUAAUUCGUUAUCUCCUAAUCUUGGAAAUUAGAAAGAAAACAGAAAAAUCUUCAAUUCCAUGUGACAAAGAAGAGGAAAAGGCAUUUCACAUGGGAAAAAAGAGCUGAAAUGACCUGUGGCAGGAGUAAUUAUUUGUACGGUUGCACAGUGAAUCUUAGAUGGAUUAGCUUAGCCUGGUUUUGUAGUCUGCCACUUUCGAUAGACAUAUAUGCAGAUCUCUGGUAUAUAUCUCUGUUUUGUUCAUUUUGAUGGUGGCUCAAGCUUUACUCUAAGAUUAUAACACACUGUCUAGCUGAUUAGCUUACCAAUUUUUUUAACAUCAUAUCAAAAGAAACCAUAUGUUUUUUGGCCGGUCCAUAAAUGAAACAUAUGAAAAAGCAACCCAACCCACAAACCCACACAUACACAUCUGAAAAAUACACACAUAGUACACAGUAACAAAGAUACGCAUAUUCACAUAUGUCAUCCAUCACAACAAAACUCUACUUUUCAAGCUCAGAGAGAGAUGAAAGAAAACGCAGAAUUCUAUGAAAACCAUGAAAAGAUUACAUCAACAUCACCAGGAAAUUAGCAGAGCAGAAACAGAAAAUCAUUCCAUAUCUAUGGUGGUGGGCUUGGGUAAACGUGGUUGCUGAUGACCUUGUUGGCGUUUGAUGAUGUGGUGGUUUCAGAGGCUCCAGCAGCAGAAGCUGAAGGACAAUCUGAAACAGAGCAAAAGCUUUGGACAAUUUGAUCAAACAUCAUCCUCUUCACUAACCUCUUCUUCACAGGGAAGACACUGCCAGGUUUUGGUUUGAACAACCAUGGCUCAGCCUUGGUUUGAUCUUGAGAUGGGCUCAAAUUCAGCUUCAUGGGCUCCUUUGGAUUGUGCUCUGUUUUUGGGCAGAGGAGGUCUUCUUCCCCAUCUGGCUUCAAGUACUUCAGCGCCUUCCUUUCAUCUGAAGAUUUCUUCAUUGCCAUCUCUUCUCUGUUGAUUGAGGAAUCGUGGGAAGCUCCCUGAUAGUUUAAAUAGAUUAGAAAUGUUUCCAUUGUGGCCCCUGCGUCAAUUCACAACGUGUGGUGGUGGGGGUGGUUGGGGGCGAGUGAUGUUGACUACGAAAGAGUUUUCUUACUUCUGUAUCUCUCUGUCCUUUUUUUUUUUCUCUGGACAAACCCGUUGUUCCAAUCACUAGAGGGGCGGACAUGCAGCUUCAAUACAUUUACAUCAAGAUCUUUUGUAAUCUUGAAUUUAUGGCAAGAAGAAGAGGCUGUUCAUUUUUCUCAUUCGUUAGCUUCUUCCCACUAACAUAUUUCUUUCUAAUUAUGUUCUGGUUUGAUUAGACAAUAAUUAGCACUUGGCUUAGUAUGACGAAACCUUUAAGCCAAUUCAAACGGUCCAGGUAUGUGGAGUAGUGUCAUCUUUCCUCUUAGUUUGAUUUAACAUGUUUACAAAGUCACCGGAUUUUACCAACUUGCAAAAUAGACAGAGGGGAAGAGAAAAAAAGAAAGAGACACAAAAAGGUGGGGAUUGGGAAAAAGCCCACGAGAGCAAAAGUUGAAGUGUUCAUAUGGACAUGAAAAGUGACUUUUAGAUGAAGAGGUAGAAAGAAAAUACAGCCAAUUUCAUACAAAUUUAGUACAAUUUUGUUGGAUGAGUCUCUCCUGCUGAAUUCCUCUUCUUGAUUUAAUUAGGUCUAGGAUCCUAAUAUAAAUUUUGUUGUUUCCCCUUCUUGCAUUCUUGAUUUAUCCUGUUUGCUUGAGCCAUUCAUAGCUUUGGGACCAACUUCAAUUGUAUAUGUAAUUUAAGAAGACGCUCGACUUGCCCUUGUCUUGCCCGUUUGAAAUCCAUGUAUGAGAGGUUGGGUUUCAGAAUUUGUGUUAUUUUGGACUUGAAACCAAGAUGUUAUAUCAAUUCGAAUCACGCUUAAGUCCAUCAAAUAAUGACUCAAUUAAACUUUAGUCAAAUUUAAUUAAAAAAGUGCAGUCCAAUCCAGCUCACCACACAAGGCUUAAAUCCAUAAUAAGUAGAAAAUUAAGGGAAUAUAUGCCUAUUACCCAAACAUUUACUAUAAUGUUUAGGUUUUUUUAUUAAUUUUAUAGAAAAAGAAGUAAUAUUUCCAAUGAAAUGUUGAUACAAGUGUCUGUUGUCUCCAUAACACAUACAACCAGCCGCAACAGAACACCUAAUUUCAUCAAGACAUGUCACUCUCCUGUAUACAUGCAGCUACUAGCUGGCGCCUAAAGGAUAAUGUCCAGGCCAACUGCAGACUUUGAUCAACAUGCAGCACAAAAAUCCAAUCCAAUCUUCAUGAAGUAGAUGUCUCAUGAACCAAAUUUAUUUUUUUUUGGUUUUUGUGUAUGUGAUGUGGGAUUCUAUGAAUCUCUUAGAAAUUUGAUCCACAUUUUGUUAGUCAGUGAAUUAUAAACCAAAAGUGUUCACACGUGAAAUUGAGACAAAAUCACUUUUAAAAAUGAAAUGGUAUGUGUACAUGACACGUCGCUUUGGUGGCCCACUCACCUCCCCAUAUUUUCUCAACAUUUUCUUGCACUACCACUUGCCUAAGAUUGAUGGGUAUCUAUUUUCAAACCACUUGCCUAGUAUGAACAUGAACGUCAAUCAGAAGAACACAUGGAAAUAAAAGUUGAUUAGGUUGUUGGAGGAAAGUUUAGGGUUUUCUGGUAUUCAACUUGAAUUCGAUUUUUUAAACUCAACAAUAAAAUUUAAGUUUAAAAUAAAGAAAAUCUGUUUAGUAACCUUAUUUUUAAAAAUUCAAACUCAAGAACAACUAAAAAAUACUUCAAUUAUUAAAAACAAAAAAUACUUCAUUAGUAUUUCAGUAUACCUGCAGCUAAUAGCUGGAGCCUAAAGUAAUGAGAGGAUGAAAGAUGCUUGUGCUUCAAGGUGUGAGAGGAUGAGAGGAUGCAAAAAAUAACCUCUAGUUAUUUUACGUUGUGAAACUAGAUGGAGAAUAGCAGAGACUGAACUUUGAUAUCUUUCUUAGAUUUUUCUUAUAUUUCUUGGAUAUAAUUUCAUAUCUUUUUGUAAUACCUAUUUAGAAAGGAUACAAACUCCUCUAUAAUUUCAUACACACUCUUAGAUUCAUAUUUUUUUUUUUGAGGUAUUGCACAUAUUUGAAUCCAUGUAUCUCUUGGAUUGCACCUCUUAAUCAAAAUCAAGAGGUACCACUUAAGAGUGUCUUUUAACUUAUAUUCAUGUUUAUGAAUUGCUCUUAACGUUCAUAUAUUUAACUCAAACAUAUAGGCAUCAAGAGAUACAGCUUAAGAUUGACAAGUUGCCUGGAAAUCGCACCUCUGUAUCAAACGACUGGACAUUUUUCUGAGACGAUCAGUCGCAUUAUACCGAGACAACAAACUGAAGUUUCUAUUUGGAACGAUCGGUCGCUUCUUAUCGACAACCGGUCGCCUGCCUUAUAUUGUUGAAAAUUCUCCAACAUCCUCACAUCAUCAUAAUUGUGUGUGUGUGAGAGAAAUUCCCCUUCUAUGUAGUUUAUACUAUUGUUUAUACUAUAAAAAUAAAAAUAAAAAUAAAAAUCAUGCCUUUCAUGAAUUUUCUAUUGGCGGGAAAUACACUUCCAACUUUUGGCUGCAACCUCAGGACCAUGAUAUUCAUCUCCACUUUAUAAUUUAUAGCCGUACUGCAAUUAGAAUCUUAAAGAUUAAUUGGCCCAAAGGCCUCACUCGAAGUAACAACAGUUAAUUAAGCCCAAGUUUAACUCCAUGGCAAUUUUUGAUGAUGCAUGGCAUGUUACAUCGUGACUUGUGACGCAACCACGGACGUCAAGUUAUAGCGUCAAAGCCCACGUCGUCACAUUCCAGAGACUGUCACCGCCCGCAAUAAUAAUUAGACAGAAAAAAAAAACCAAGGAUGUGAAGAAGAGUUAUUUACAUUAACACUUUCAAAGAUUUUCGGUUUUUGCACCAAACACUUUAAAGUUUUAGAAAUUAUAACACAUUAUUAGGUUUUAAAUUGUUUUCACAAAAUCAACAGGGGGUGUGUUAGUGUAUAUAAUUCAAUGAACCUAGCUCAUAAUUUGGUUUUAAAGAAAACAUAAUUUUAUUAGAUUAAGUGGCCUUUUCCCUUUUCUCCCCCUCUAACAUGAGUGAUGAUGUUGAUACAAAGGCAGCGCAUGCAUAUUCGGGUGACACUGAUUUGGUAAUGGUGGGAUUUUAAAAGUAAUGUUUUUUCUGAUGGUCCUGGAAAGUCAUGGUUUUCCUUUCAAAAACAUAUCUUAAUUAGGCUAAACAUCUCUAUCCAUUUAUGGGGUUAACUUAAGCUUUUCUGGUUUGUCUUGACGGAGUAAAGGCUUUGAAGCCUUACUAUUUUAAUGAUGGAUUCAGUGCCCACCAGCAGCACAGCUCUCUCUGUUUUAUUCAUUUUGAAUUGACCCUAACUUUAUGACACUUUGUCUCGCUUAGCUCACCAAUUUUUUCACAUCAUAUCAACUUCAAUCUUGAUAAAGAAAGAACAAACCAUAUGUUUUUUGGCCGGUUCAAAAUUAAAUACGAAAAAGCCAACAUGAAAUGAAAGCCCACACAUACACACAGCAGUAACACAGAUUCGCAUAUUCAGAUAUGUCAGGGAGAGAGAGAGAGAGAGAGAGAGAGAGAGAGAGAGAGAGAGAGAGAGAGAUCAAAGAAAACCCAGCAUUCUAUGAAAGCCAUGAAAAAACUACACCACCACCAUUGAAAUUACCAGAAAGAAACAGAAAAACAAUUGCAUGCCUAGACUGGGUAAACGUGGUUGCUGAUGACCUUGUUGCUGGAGUUUGAUGAUGUGGUGGUUUCAGAGGCUCCAGCAGAAGCUGAAGGACUAUUACUAGUAACAUCUGAAACAGAGGAAAAGCAUUGGACAAUUUGAUGAAACAUCAUCGUCUUUACUAAUUUCUUCCUCACCGGGCGGACACUUCCAGGUUUUGAUUUGAACGACUGCCAUGGCUCAGCCUUGCUUUGAUCUUCAGAUGGGAUCAAGUUCAGCUUCAUGGGCUCCUUUGGGUGGUGCUCUGUUUUGGAGCAGAGGAGGUCCUCUUCCCCAUCUGGGUUCAAGUGCUUCAACGCCCUCUCUGCAUCUGCAGUUUCCUUCAUUGCCAUCUCUCUCUUUCUCUGUCUGUGAAUGUGUGCUUCCUUCCUUCUGUGUUGGUGUGCUUAAAUGGAUGUCUUUUUAGGCCCUGUUUGUUACAUAGGAUUGGCUAGAACAGAAUUAAUAAUAAGAAUUGUCUAGGAUAGGCUUGGCUUGGAUUAAGUCCUAUCCUAUGUUUGGUGGAGUAGUGGCAUCUUUCUUCUUAGUCUGAUUAACACCGUGUUUAAAAAGCUACUUACCUGAUUUCAACAUCAUCUCCCUUUACAACUUUAUCUUGAAUAUUAUUCUGUCAUGCUUAUUCCAAUUUCCCAACAAGCCUUCUUCAAUUGUAUGCCACUCCUUUCUUUCUUUCUUUCUUUCUUUCUUUCUCUUUUGUUUUGCGUCGGUUUGAUGUGGACAAUUACAAAAGAAACUAACGAAGUUGAAAGAGAUACCACAAAAGCACUCGACAAGAUGGGAGCCCAAACAGUAGUUCAUAUGUCACCUUUUUUUUUAAUCUCUAGUGAUUUAUAAUUGCAUUAUUUCCACAACCUUGAGAACUUUGAAUUAAGUCAGAAAAUUAAAUUGCUAAUGGCUGCAAUCAAAAGGCUAAUUCAGAAUUAGUGCUGGUAACCCUUUUUUUGUAGAAGCAUGAAUGUUUUUCAAUUGAUGCUAAAGAUUAUGUGUAAAACAAAGAAUGUAAAUAUGAGUCUGUUCUGUAGAAGAUAAGCUAUGCUUAUCAUUAGGUAAUGUUUAGAGGCAAAGGAGAUCACUCAUAUAUUUACAUAUAUAAUAAUGACUUUUUCUGCAUGCAUGUCCAUUCUCUUUAUUUGAUUGUUUGUGGAGAAAAUGUGUUUGUUUAUGGUCUGAAGUCAAAGACUUGUAAAUCUGAGAGGUUCCCAAGAGCCAAAGAUUUGUACUAGUCAUUUUUAACCUAGAAGCUGCCCCUUGUGGUAGAUUUUGCCAUAUGUGACUUAGAGCUAGGAGAAGGCCAAUUAAUCUGGGGCUCUCUUUGGUUAGGGCCCCAGGCUAGGCUAGGCUGCAUGUAAGCCACUUUAACUAAAGUGUUGCGAUUUGAAAAAAAAUAUGAAAACAAGGCACUAGUAAAGUUUUAUUGACUUUCAAACCAAUAAUCCCUCCAUUAAAAUAAAAGCAUGACUUGGGUUUACACAGGAGAGGAGACCCUGCUGCAAGAACAAUUUUUUGACGACAAGCAAUAAACUUAUAGUUAGAAGGAAGAUUGGAACGCCUGGAAAUAUUUAAAGUAAUGUUUGUAGUUGUGGAGAGGCAUUAUAUUAAAAUUAUUGUUCAUUUAACAAUAUACUUAUUAAAGAAAAGAAGAUAAGACAAACUAACGAGAAGAGAGCGGCUGAAGAAGAAGGGGAGAAAGUAAUUUUUAACUCUUAAACCACUGAGAAGAAUAUCCAUGCAUGCAGGGCGGGCGGGGGGGGCCCCGAACACCAUUUUCUAGGGAAAGAAGAAAGAUCGAAAUUAAGCUGUAAAAAAAUUUAAAAAAAUAAAGAAAAAAGAGGCUCCUAGUCACUCAUUGGUGACUUUUGACCAAAUGAUUUGGUGACACUGAUGAUGAUGGGAUUUUUAAUAAUAUCAAAAGAAAACAAUAUCAUGAAACGCCAGGAGAUGGUAAAUUUAAAAGUAAUGUUUUUCUGAUGGUCCUGCAUUACAAUUUGAUGGAUGGAAAGUCAUGGUUUUCUUUCAACAACAUAUCAUAUGAUUAAUUUGGCUAAACAUCUCUAACCAUUUAUGGGGUUAAGCUUUUCUGGGUUGUCUUGACGGCGUGAAGGCUUGAAGCCUCUUACUAUUUUCAGUUGUAAAAAAUUCUCUUUAUUUUAUGGGGUUUUAUAAUAACAUGUGAGCUGAUGGCUUGAAAGAUUGUACAUGGACCUGUGAUGGAAAACAACUGACAAGCAAACAAGGCCAGUCAAAAAAGUCACAAGGAAUUCACUUGAUUUGGUGGAAUUAUGGUGAUGGUGGAACUUGAGUUAGAAAAUUAAAUUGCUAAUGGCUAAUCUGAGAGGUUCCCAAGAGCCAAAGACAUGUACUAGUCAUUUUUAACCUAGAAGCUGCCCUUUGUGGUAGUUUUUGCCAUAUGUGACCUAGAGCUUGGAGAAGGCCAAUUAAUCUGGGUCCCUCUUGACAAAACUGUUGGGAUUUGGAAAAAAUAUGGAAGACCCUGAUAAUUAACCAAGGCACUAGUAAAGUUCUUUCUGACUUUCAAACCAAUCUUCCCUCCAAAAAGAAAAUCUCAUGACAAUGGUAUCUUUCUUUCUAUGAGAAUAUGACGUUGUUGAGAACGUGCUUGUGAAAAAGCGGUUUUUCAUACAAGUCAUGUCACGGCACAAACAAUUUGGUAUCUUUCUUUCUGUAAGGAAAAAGGUCCAAAUGCCAAUGCAUUCACAUCGUAUAGGCCAGGCAGUAGAUGAGAUUUACAAUGGUAACUAUUCAAUUGCCAGUGCCACACACACAUGACGCUACCCAAAGCAAUCAAGCUGUUUUCCACUCUCUUUUUUUCUUUUUUUUUUCUUUCUGGUUUUGUUGGAUUAGUGUCCUGCUCAAUUCCUCUUCUUGAUUUGAUUUGAUUAGGUGUAUGAUAUGAUCCCAUAUAUUUACUAUAAUAUUCAUUAGUAUUGAAAAAGAAAAAAAGAGGUAUAAUGUAUUAAUGUUCAAGAGUUAAGUUCAUUAGCAUGCAUGAGUGUCAACUGUCAAGCAGCAGCAGCAGCAACUAACACGCAGAAGGUCCAAUUUCAUCCAGACCUGUCACUCUGUUCUGCAUAUCUCUGUAGCUACUAGCUGGCGCCUAAAGGAUGAUGUCCCAGAGCAAUUGCAGACUUUGAUCACAUGUAUCACAACAAUCCAGUCCAGUCCAAUCCAAAUGAUCAUGAUUAAACUAAAAAAUGGUACCAUUAAUUUAGAACUCUCUGCUUAAUUUAUUUGUUUUGAUGGCUUUGUCCACCUAAUUAAAGUUGAAUUUCACAAAUCCAACCCUUUCCAAAAACUGGUUUCCUGGGUUGCUUUAGUUUUAUAUAUGAGAAUUUUAUUUUAUUUUUUAUUUUGGGUGUGUAUCUGUCUGAUAUGGGCUUCUAUGAAUCUCAUCGAAAAUUGAUGCACAUUUUGUUAAAAACCAGUGAAUCAAAAGCGACAAGUGUUGACACAUUGAAUCAUUUACUAAAAGCAAAGCAAGAACAAUCAGACCGUAGCCACAAAAUACUAUCAAAAGCAGAGACCUUGAACUAUUAAAUUAAAAACAGAGUCGAAAAGCCAAAAACAAAGAAUUAAGUGGACUUGGAAAGAGAGAGCAAAAGAGAAGGUGCUAAAUUAUAUGUAUUACAACGGGUUUGGUGGGUAAUGGGUAUGUGAUUAAUUGUUCUUCUUUGGUGUUGGUGGUGGUGGUGGUGGUGGUGUUUGGUGUUUUAGGCUUGUGGGGUUUGGGAGGCCACUCCAACCGCUGAUGAUGAGGAAGGAGCAGAGUGAGAAACCACAGAGCCAAAGUAGACUACUAAACGAUCAAAAAUCAUGCGUUUCACUGAUUUUCUCUUGGCGGGAAAUACACUUGCAGCUUUUGGCUUGAACCAUGAGAGUUGGUGUGGCUCUUCCAGGACCAUGAUCUUCUUCAUCUCCACUUUCUCUGUUGUGUCCAGCUUCAACUUCACCAUUUUCUCUGCCUCUUUCUUGUUUUUCCCAUCUGGGUUCUUCAGCUUGAUCUUCAUCAGCCCCUUCUCUGCCCCUUCAAUAUUUGCCCUCACUGCCAUUUUGCUCUCUCUCUCUCUCUCUCUCUCUCUCUCUCUCUCUCUCUCUCUCUCUCUCUCUUUCUUCUUGUGUGUUAUGAUGUGAUGUGUAUGUGUUUUUGUUUGUGGGUGGUCUCUGUCUCUCUGUGUGUGUUUAAAUAAAAUAAUAAAGAACUGUAGGUGAGAGGGAAUUGGUGAAAUCGGAAGGCAAAUCCAAGAUCAACUCAAGAAAGAACAUACAUGGGAAUGAGGCAAAAUCACUUAUCCAAAAUGAAAUGGGAUGUGGGAUGUGGGAUGUGCAGGUGACACGUGGUGUUGGUCGUCCACUUCCCAUAUUUUCUCAACAUUUUCUGGCACUACCACUUGCCUAGAUUGAUUGGUAUUGAUUGGUAUUUUCAAACCAACUUGUCUCUGGAAAAGUUAGAACUAAAAAGCACAUGUCAAUAAGAAUAUAUGGAAAGAAAAAUGUGGUUAAAGUCAGAGGAAAGUUACACUUACUAUACUUCACAUGAUAUUGAUUAGUGAAAAAUGGUCAUUGAUUUAUAUCUUUAUUGAUUUAUUGUGUAUCAAAAUGAAGCUUGAAGAAUGUUGACAAGUUUGAAUUGAUUCAGAAACAUUCUUUUGACCAAAGAGGAAGCUUCCUAGACAUUUCACCAUUAAGGUAUACUAAGAAUUAUCAUGGUUGAUAACAUCUGAAGAAGUCAUUGACUAGGUCCUCUCUUCACUUUUUUAUUUUCUUCCUCCAUCUUCUGAGUGAUUUGCUUUAUGACCAUCAAACCAGUCUCCUGUCAAUUAUGAACAAUGAUUUUGAUAAACAUAGGAGAAAAGUUUUUCUUAGUGACUGGUUAUGAUUUGCUCUGCUCUGUUAAGACCUGCCUUUGAUUAGGGUUAUGGAAAAUUGGACAUGUCACUAAAUAGAAUAGAAGUGUAGAACAGUAAAAGCUGGUGCUUCUAGUUUUUCUUUUUUGUAAUUUGUAUGAGCUGAAGGGAAAGUAAAAAAGAAAGAUGAUUCAAAGACAGAUUAGUUAGACAGCAAAUCUAACUGCGAAAAGGUUUAUUAAAAUACUCAUAACUUGACAUUUUACAAUCUCUCUCAUUCUCAUCAUAGUUUUUUCCCUUUGGUUUGUGAGGAAGAUCCAUACAUACUCUCGGAAACAAUUUAUUUUGAUGAUUCAACAAGCCAAUAGCCCAAAAGUAGCAAGAUGCACUUGAAUUAUCUACCUAGCAUCAUUUGAUAAAAGAUUGUUCCUUUCAACUGUUCUAACGUUGCACAGCUCAUCAACUGAGUCCCCUCUCUCAAAAACUGCAGCAGCCCCCAUACCCGAGCCUGCAACAAAGGACACACUCUCAGUCACGUCUUAUAUUAUCACAAGCUCUCAGUAACCAGGAAGAAGAUGUGUGUGUGUGUGCGAGAGAGAGAGAGAGAGAGAGAGAGAGAGAAACCUAUGCACAUGGAUAUCACACCAAAGCGGUGAUCCUUGCCACGACGCUUCAUCUCAUUCAAUAGAGUUGCAACACAGCGAGCACCUAACACACAUAGAUAUCACACUUCUAUUCACCAAACUUAUAGAAAAAUAAUAAUGUGAUUGCAUUUCCUCUUUGUUCACUAGUUAUAUUAGUAAUUAAACCAGAUGAUAGCAUUAAAGGAAAUGUACAUGCCUGUUUGUGUCAUCACAUAUCCACUUGAAUUCAUAGCUUAGCAGCAAAAUAUGAGGGAAUGUGUAAUUUAAGACAAUUUAAUAUACCUGUAGCGCCCAAAGGAUGCCCUAGAGCAAUAGCGCCUCCAUUAACAUUGACUUUUUCAGGAUCAAGCUCCAAUUUCUUGCAACAAUAUACAUAUUGAGAUGCAAAUGCCUAUAGGAAACCAAUUAAACAGCAUAGUUAAGAUAAUUCAAGCCAUACCAUAUUUAUCAUGAAUGUUAUGGAAAUCAUUAGCACUAUACUACCUCAUUUAUCUCAAAUAGAUCAAUAUCAUCAAGCUCCAGACCAGCAGAUUUCACCGCAACUGGAAUUGCAGCAGCUGGACCUAUUCCCAUGACAGCGGGGUCAACACCAACAGCAGCAAAACUCCUGCAUGGAAAGGAGAAAAUUGUAAUCCAAGGUACAAAUCACGCUUCUGUUAGUUCACGAACAAACUUAUCACAAGGAAAUAACACCAAUUAACACUGACAAGAAAAUUAAUAAAUGACCAAACCUCAAGCAGCUCAUCUCUCCACUUAUGGUUCAUUAAUUUGCUAUGAUUUUUUUGUUUCGAUAUUAUAGUCAUUUCAAGAGGCAUAAUAAUCUUCAAAGUUUAAGUGAUGAGUUAAAUGUUAUUUCACGGAAGUAUAAAUUUCAUACCUGAAAACACCAAGAAUAGGAAGCCCCUUCUGCAUAGCUAAACUUCUCUUCAUGAGGAGAACUGCUCCAGCACCAUCACUCACCUGGCUAGCAUUUCCUAAGAGACAAAAACAAUGAACUGAUUCACAAUGCUUGAUACAAGUCAAAAACAUCUCACUCAAAGGAAAAGUUGUGUACAAUUAAAUGAAGAUACUGUCAUGGUUUACAAGCAGCGGGCAUCAUGAAAAUCGAGUGAUUAAAUACCUGCAGUUGUAGACCCAUCUGCUUUAAACGCAGGCUUCAGCUUUGCCAAAUCAUUCAUGUUUGCAUUUGGCCGGAUCCCAUCAUCCACAGAAAUUGUAACAGGCCUCUCCUCUCCAGUUUUCGGAUCCACAAUCUAUGCAUACAAAUAGUUAAUUACAGAAAAAUGAAAGACAGUCACCCAGGAGACCAAAUUUCUGUGUUUACCUUAGUAGAUACAGGGACAAUUUCAUCUUGGAAUUUGCCUGAUGCUGUUGCUGCAGCAGCACGGCUAUGAGAUUCAACCUAUACAAAUAAAUUCAUGAAACUACAGCUUCAGCAUUAUGAGUUUAUCAAAUAGCUAAUGCCUGUCAACAGAUAGAAAACUCACAGCAGCUUUGUCUUGCUCCUGCCGUGUCACACCAUAUCGCUGUGCAACAUUUUCAGAGGUAAUACCCAUGGGAAGAAGGCAGUCACGGGCUUGUGCAAAGAUAUCUACCUGUUAACAGCAUAUAUUCAUCUCAAAAGAACAUUCUUCAUGUAAAACAAAUUAUAAAAUAAACAACUAGAGAUGGAAUAUACUUUAGGGUUAAUUUUGUUCAUCCUGCCAAGUUUAUCAACUGACAUGGACUCCAAUCCAGCUGCAACACCUGCAUUCAAAACAAAGGUCAAUUCCAAUGAUGGAGACCACCUAAAAUAAUACUUAAUCCAGAAUAUUCUCUCACCAAUUUCAUAGAAUCCGGCUUUUAUAGAAGCAGCUACAUCAGCAACUGCCUGAAGGCCUGAUGAACAUUGCCUGUUGACGGUUCUGAUGGGAACCGUAUCUGAGCAAAACAGAGGAAUCAUACAACUUUAGACUAAAACAAAUAUAUAAAUAAAUUACUUAAAACACCAAAUAUAGUCUAAAACUUACCAGGGAAACCAGCAUAAAAUGCAGCCAUCCUGCAUUCAGUUGCUCUAAGUGAGCCAGGUGCCAUAACCGUACCAACAACUAUAUCCCCUACUUCACCUGGGUUCAAAUUUGUCCUCUCAAUUAGUGCCUGCACAAAAAGUAAAACGAAUGAAAAUUCAGAAUAAGAUAACUACCACAUAAUUAUGAUGGAAUUCAAAGAAACAUAUUCAUUCCUCUGGAAUUCAGUUGAGAAGUGUAUGCUAACCUUUAAAACAGGAGCCAGUAAAUCAUCAGGUGAAGUAUCCUUAAAGCCUCCUCGCUUUGCUUUGCAAAUGGCAGUACGGUAGGCUCUAUUUAACAUGAUUUUACAGCAAGGUUUAACAUAGAGAAGGCAUAAACUCCACCCAAAUAUUCAAAAAAAAUAAAGGAAUUAAAGAACUUUCUCAGAUCAGUUAAUUACUCACGCCACAAUCACUACAUCGUCUCCAAAAGCAGCUGUUCUGUGGUACGCAGCGCUAUCCCCAGCAGCACAUAUUGAAGCCUAACAAACAAAUUAUGAAGAAAAAAGAAUCAGCUACAUAACAUAAAGCAAAAUUAGGUACAAUCAAAGUUUCUAUCUUUUUUUUAUGAAACUGAAAAGGAAGAGAAUUGAAGAGAAAAUAAGCUGGAAACAAGAACACCAAGUAAAGAGUCACUACAAUUAAAUCCGAUUAUCGAAAAUGGAUAUAAACUUACAGACAGGGCAGCAGAUUGAUGGGUUUCAGGAGGAGCAGCGGAAAAAGAACAAUUGGGCAACAGAUGCUGAAGCAGAACACGCUGUCUGUUAUGCGCUUUCUCCAUCUCUCUCUCUCCAAAAUGAAUUGCAGAAAGCUCUUUCAAUCAAUCAGACACUGUGGAGCAGUAACACAUUAAUCAAUGGUUUAUGCGUUUUUAUAGUUGAAAUGAGGUUGGCCUCUUGAAUUUCCAAGUAAAUAUUGACCACAAGACGAACCCACUUAGUCAACUGCAAAGGGAAAGGCACUGAAACAUUUGCUCGGUGGCUGCCACUGGGGAAAAUACGAGGAAACAAUACCCCACGUUUUUCACAGCAACCAAACGUUUGGCUUGCUCAGUUGCUGCUUCUCUCUCUAGUCUCUACCAACUUUUUAUUUUAUUUUUUUGUGGUGCCAUGCCAUAAUCUUUUCAUUUCCAUUUGAUUGGAAAACCAUACGAAUUCCCAUUUGAGGCCACUUUUAAAACCAUUAUGAAUCCUUUUCUUUUCUAGUAGAAAACAAAGCAAAAUCAUUGACUGAAGGCUGCGCUGCAAGUUCGCUUCUUUUUCCUUUAUUUUCGCCUUUUGGAGACAUCAUUAUCAAAGGUUGGUGAACGCAGGUCUUCGGUGACCAGAUAAUUUCCGAUGCGCGUUUCUUUUUUUUACACUGAGCAUCAAUAAUAAGAAAAGAAAAGGGGGCGGAUAAACCAAAGCUCUAUGAAUUUCUGUGUAUAUACAUAUGGACAAACGUUUCUCCAGCAAAAAACAUGGACACCAAACUUAGCAGAAAACUGUAGAUGGUCUCUUGCUUGCAUGCUAGUAUGACCCGGUGUUUCUUUUACAAAAGAAUA
Molecule: long non-coding RNA, 32864 nt
Filed under: Prunus persica (peach)
Lineage: Eukaryota; Viridiplantae; Streptophyta; Magnoliopsida; Rosales; Rosaceae
Description: long non-coding RNA (PPER_LNC008454)
Rfam family: Plant small nucleolar RNA R71 (bases 12316-12422)
Source: RNAcentral